Odocoileus virginianus texanus is the source of this 961-nucleotide long non-coding RNA. RefSeq lists it as uncharacterized. Lineage: Eukaryota; Metazoa; Chordata; Mammalia; Artiodactyla; Cervidae. The record is from RefSeq and is a predicted model, not a curated record.
AGCUGUGCCGCAGGGGCGGGGCCGAGCCGAUGGUGUUGGACCGGCCCAGGCUGGUGGCCACGGCCGCCUCAAAGAGAUUGUUGUUCCUGGAACUGUCCAUCAUCAGCUGGGUCCAUACAGGCCAACUGGAAUAUUUCCUGCGGGGAGAGUGGACUCAUCGAAGGGUAUGCACUCCGGCCACUCCUGCAAAGCAAUGCCAUGUUCAGAGGUGUAAACUCAGUGAGAGAGGAGCCCAGUCAUGUUCACUGCGCUGCCCCCAGAGCAAUCACUACUUGAACACUACAGGGCUCGAGAAACACAGCUGGUCCCGAGGAACACGAGCGCUGCUCCAUGAAUGUCUCCAUUUCAGGAGAUGGACCAUCAUCUACCGAAAGCUCAAACCAGAAACCCAAAGGUCAUCUUUGAUUCCUUCCCCCUCUUCAUGCCAUGUAGCCAAUCAGUCACCAUUCAGACCCAUUCUGUGUAUGAAUUACCUCUCCAGUCUGGCUCUCUCUCUCGCCAUUUCCUAUUAAUCCAAGCCACAGUCUUUAAUAAUUCACACAAUUGCAGCCAUGUACUAGGUGAUGUUCCAUCUCUCAAACUGUCUCCCUCCAAUCCGCUGAGCCCACACCGGACUAAAGAAUGACCUUUGGAAAGCUGAAACCUGAUCACAUCACUCUGAUGACUGUAUCUCCCAUUACCCUUGGAUGAAACUAAACUUCUGUCUCCUAGCCCUGCCAAACCUGCCACUUCCCCUGACCUCUGUGUGCACCAUCCAUCAUGACACUUUUUAGGUUCCUUAAACUUAACCUGACUCUUACUUCAUCUCUUGAAGUGCUUGCUUCUGAGUCUUACUCAAAUGUUGCUUCCUCAGGGAAGCUUCCUCAAAUCCUCAAACUAUGUGAGCUGCUUCCUUUACACAGCAUCACAAUAGCCGACCGUCCCCCCCACCCCGACCCCCUGCCACACACACACAUUUUAA